UAAACGACUCUCGGCAACGGAUAUCUUGGCUCACGCAUCGAUGAAGAACGCAGCAAAAUGCGAUACUUGGUGUGAAUUGCAGAAUCCCGUGAACCAUCGAGUUUUUGAACGCAAGUUGCGCCCAAGGCCUUUUGGUUGAGGGCACGUCUGCCUGGGCGUCACAC
Molecule: ribosomal RNA, 164 nt
Filed under: Jacobaea maroccana
Lineage: Eukaryota; Viridiplantae; Streptophyta; Magnoliopsida; Asterales; Asteraceae
Description: 5.8S ribosomal RNA
Rfam family: 5.8S ribosomal RNA
About the family: 5.8S ribosomal RNA (5.8S rRNA) is a component of the large subunit of the eukaryotic ribosome. It is transcribed by RNA polymerase I as part of the 45S precursor that also contains 18S and 28S rRNA.
Source: RNAcentral